GUUCCCUCCGAAGUUUCCC
This 19-nucleotide small nuclear RNA is filed under the name Arabidopsis thaliana (thale cress). RNAcentral's name for it is "snRNA_03155". Lineage: Eukaryota; Viridiplantae; Streptophyta; Magnoliopsida; Brassicales; Brassicaceae. The record is from RNAcentral.